GCCAGGUGUGGUGGUGCACACCUGUAAUCCCAGUGGCUUGGGAGGCUGAGGCAGUAGGAUUGCAAGUUCAAAGCCAGCCUCAGUAACAGUUAGGCAUUAAGCCACUCAGUAGGACCCUGUCUCUA
Molecule: small RNA, 125 nt
Filed under: Marmota monax (woodchuck)
Lineage: Eukaryota; Metazoa; Chordata; Mammalia; Rodentia; Sciuridae
Source: RNAcentral